AUUGUAUUGGGAUCUGUUAAUAUUGUUAUCCCCCUUGAAGGGACACUAUAAUCCUAUAGGGUAAAAAUUGUAACACCUUGGAUCUGCAGUGAAAGAAGGGAUGACAUAUGAACAACACAAAAAAAUAAGGAAAGGAAGUACCGUGAACAAACCAAGAUACUACAUUAUUAGAAUCCAUGGCCAGCACAGCAGAAGAAAUUACAGAGAAGGAGUUCAGGAUGCACAUAAUUAAAAUGUUCUGUGAAUUAAAGGAUGAUAUAAGAGAGCAAAUAUAGACACCAAAAGAUUAUUUUGAUAAAGAGCUACAUAAGCCAAAGAUUACUUCAAUAAGGAGAUAGAGGUUCUCAAAAAAAAAAAAAAAAAAAAAGAAAGAAAGAAAAGAAAACCUUGAAAUGAAGGAAACAAUAAACCAAAUUAAAAACUCAAUAGAAAGCACCACCAACACAUUAGAUCAUUUGGAAGACAGAACCUCAGACAAUGAAGACAAAAUAUAUAAUCUUGCAAAUAAAGUUGACCACACAGUGAAGAUGGUAAUAAAUCAUGAGCAUUUAAGAAUUAUGGGGUAGCAUAAUAAGACCAAAUUUAAGAAUUAUUAGGAUAGACAAAGGCAUAGAGUUACAAACCAAAGGGAUGAACAAUCUAUGCAAUGAAAUGAUACCAGAAAAAUUUCCAAACAUGAAGAAUGAAUUAAAAAAAUCAAAUACAAGAAUUUUACAGGACACCAAAUUUACAAAAUCACAACAGAUCUGCACCAAGGCACAUUAUAAUAAAAAUGCCUAGCAUACAGAAUAAGCAGAUAAUUUUAAAAGCCACAAGAGAAAGGAAUUAGAUCACAUAUAGUGGCAAACCAAUUAGGAUCUCUGUAGAUUUCUCAAUCCAGACCAUGAAAGCUAGAAGAUCCUGGAAUAACAUAUACCAAGUGUGAAAGAAAAUGGAUGCCAACUAAGACUCUCAUAUCCAACAAAAUUAUGCUUUAUAUGAUGACAAAAUAAAAACCUUCCAUGAUAAAUGAAAGUUAAAAGAAUUUAUACCUAGAAAGCCUGCAGUACAGAACAUCCU
RNAcentral lists this long non-coding RNA (1059 nucleotides) under Marmota monax (woodchuck). The record is from RNAcentral. Lineage: Eukaryota; Metazoa; Chordata; Mammalia; Rodentia; Sciuridae.